CAAGUACUCCCUCCGUCCGGAAUUACUUGUCAUCAAAUUGGAUGUGUCUAGAACUAAAAUACAUCUAGAUACAUCCAUUUCAAUGACAAGUAUUUUCAGAUGGAGGGAGUACAAG
This is a non-coding RNA of Triticum aestivum (bread wheat), 115 nucleotides long. Lineage: Eukaryota; Viridiplantae; Streptophyta; Magnoliopsida; Poales; Poaceae. The record is from Rfam.